UCCAUAUUGAACAUAUGAAGUGCUGACUGUAAUCCGCGUAGCAGUCAGAAGAGGGAAUCAGGUGAGAAUCCUGAGCGAUCCGGUCACUGUAACAGAGGAGCGACUUUUCGAUAUCCCAUUGUACGAUAGUAUGAGAAGGGGAAAAGAAGUGAUGAUCCUGAAGUCAGGAAACCUGCUUUGUAUGGCGAGGUUAA
This 194-nucleotide non-coding RNA is filed under the name Blautia obeum. Lineage: Bacteria; Bacillati; Bacillota; Clostridia; Lachnospirales; Lachnospiraceae. The record is from RNAcentral.